Molecule: small nuclear RNA, 106 nt
Organism: Jaculus jaculus (lesser Egyptian jerboa)
Lineage: Eukaryota; Metazoa; Chordata; Mammalia; Rodentia; Dipodidae
Source: RefSeq, a predicted model, not a curated record
GUGCUCGCUUUGGCAGCACAUGCACUAAAACUGGAAUGGUACAGAGAAGAUUAGCAUGGCCCCAUGCAAGCAUGACACACAGAUUCAUGAAGCAUUCCAUAUUUUU